UGAGUAACACGUAUCCAAUCUGCCGUCUACUCUUGGCCAGCCUUCUGAAAGGAAGAUUAAUCCAGGAUGGCAUCAUGAGUUCACAUGUCCGCAUGAUUAAAGGUAUUUUCCGGUAGACGAUGGGGAUGCGUUCCAUUAGAUAGUAGGCGGGGUAACGGCCCACCUAGUCAACGAUGGAUAGGGGUUCUGAGAGGAAGGUCCCCCACAUUGGAACUGAGACACGGUCCAA
Molecule: ribosomal RNA, 229 nt
Filed under: uncultured bacterium
Lineage: Bacteria
Description: partial 16S ribosomal RNA
Rfam family: Bacterial small subunit ribosomal RNA
Source: RNAcentral